Molecule: ribosomal RNA, 253 nt
Filed under: uncultured bacterium
Lineage: Bacteria
Description: partial 16S ribosomal RNA
Rfam family: Bacterial small subunit ribosomal RNA
Source: RNAcentral
UACGAAAGGGGCUAGCGUUGUUCGGAAUUACUGGGCGUAAAGCGCACGUAGGCGGCCUGUCAAGUCAGGGGUGAAAGCCCAGAGCUCAACUCUGGAAUUGCCUUUAAAACUGGUAAGCUCGAGGAUGUGAGAGGUGAGUGGAAUUCCGAGUGUAGAGGUGAAAUUCGUAGAUAUUCGGAAGAACACCGGUGGCGAAGGCGACUCACUGGCACAUUUCUGACGCUGAGGUGCGAAAGCGUGGGGAGCAAACAGG